This 492-nucleotide ribosomal RNA is filed under the name uncultured bacterium. RNAcentral describes it as "partial 16S ribosomal RNA". It matches the Rfam family "Bacterial small subunit ribosomal RNA", at positions 29 to 507 of the family's 1533-position model. The record is from RNAcentral.
AGUGAACGCUGGCGGUAGGCCUAACACAUGCAAGUCGAACGGCAGCACAGUAAGAGCUUGCUCUUACGGGUGGCGAGUGGCGGACGGGUGAGGAAUACAUCGGAAUCUACUUUUUCGUGGGGGAUAACGUAGGGAAACUUACGCUAAUACCGCAUACGACCUACGGGUGAAAGCAGGGGAUCUUCGGACCUUGCGCGAUUGAAUGAGCCGAUGUCGGAUUAGCUAGUUGGCGGGGUAAAGGCCCACCAAGGCGACGAUCCGUAGCUGGUCUGAGAGGAUGAUCAGCCACACUGGAACUGAGACACGGUCCAGACUCCUACGGGAGGCAGCAGUGGGGAAUAUUGGACAAUGGGCGCAAGCCUGAUCCAGCCAUACCACGUGGGUGAAGAAGGCCUUCGGGUUGUAAAGCCCUUUUGUUGGGAAAGAAAAGUAGCAGGUUAAUACCCCGCUGUUCUGACGGUACCCAAAGAAUAAGCACCGGCUAACUUCGUG